This 468-nucleotide ribosomal RNA is filed under the name uncultured bacterium. RNAcentral describes it as "partial 16S ribosomal RNA". It matches the Rfam family "Bacterial small subunit ribosomal RNA", at positions 28 to 507 of the family's 1533-position model. The record is from RNAcentral.
GACGAACGCUGGCGGCGUGCUUAACACAUGCAAGUCGAACGGAAAGGCCCUGCUUUUGUGGGGUGCUCGAGUGGCGAACGGGUGAGUAACACGUGAGUAACCUGCCCUUGACUUUGGGAUAACUUCAGGAAACUGGGGCUAAUACCGGAUAGGAGCUCCUGCUGCAUGGUGGGGGUUGGAAAGUUUCGGCGGAUGGGGAUGGACUCGCGGCUUAUCAGCUUGUUGGUGGGGUAGUGGCUUACCAAGGCUUUGACGGGUAGCCGGCCUGAGAGGGUGACCGGCCACAUUGGGACUGAGAUCCUGCCCAGACUCCUACGGGAGGCAGCAGUGAGGAAUAUUGCACAAUGGGCGGAAGCCUGAUGCAGCAACGCCGCGUGCGGGAUGACGGCCUUCGGGUUGUAAACCGCUUUCGCCUGUGACGAAGCGUGAGUGACGGUAAUGGGUAAAGAAGCACCGGCUAACUACGUG